This 51-nucleotide transfer RNA is filed under the name Stenella coeruleoalba (striped dolphin). Its description in RNAcentral is "partial tRNA-Pro". Lineage: Eukaryota; Metazoa; Chordata; Mammalia; Artiodactyla; Delphinidae. The record is from RNAcentral.
AAACCUCACCACCAACACCCAAAGCUGGAAUUCUACAUAAACUAUUCCUUG